RNAcentral lists this long non-coding RNA (225 nucleotides) under Malus domestica (apple). RNAcentral's name for it is "long non-coding RNA (MDOM_LNC020291)". Lineage: Eukaryota; Viridiplantae; Streptophyta; Magnoliopsida; Rosales; Rosaceae. The record is from RNAcentral.
UUAGCUAGAGGGUUCUUCUCUACACAUGACACAUAUGCAACCUAAAUUGAUUUUCAGUUGUUCUUUCAAUAAAUUGUGAAUCUCAACACUUCAGAUUAACCGUGAACAGCACUUUUUUAAUCUUCCAGUUUUCCUUAAGUUAUUGAAUUGGACGGGAAAACGCAUACAACAAUUCCAAACAUUCUUCAAAAGUCCCCUACGUGAAAAGCACAAUAGAGAUACAAU